Molecule: long non-coding RNA, 1443 nt
Filed under: Homo sapiens (human)
Lineage: Eukaryota; Metazoa; Chordata; Mammalia; Primates; Hominidae
Description: HSALNT0230030
Source: RNAcentral
UUCUCAAGUUCUGAUUGAGUUCUAAAAGAUUUUGAAGAUUGGAAUUCUUCAUAGUCAGAUCUAAGAUUCUUAGUUGAAAGGAUUUCCCCACUCAGUACUUUGAAUUAAUCAACCCUACUGCCUUCUGGCCUCCAAGGUUUCUGGUAAGAAAUCUACUGAUAAUCUGACUGAGAAUCCUUUGUAUGUGAGGAGUACUUCUCCCUUGUUUCAUUCAAGAUUCUUUGUCUUUUGAUACCUUGAUUAUAAACUAUCUUGAGUGAGAUACUUUGAAUUUAUCCUAUUUUGAGUUUGUUGAGCUUUGUGGUUUUUUUGACAGCAAGUUUUUGUAGAGACAGGGUCUCAUGGCCAGGCACAGUGGCUCAUGCCCAUAAUCCCAGCACUUUGGGAGGCCAGCUGAGACCAGCAGAUCACCUGAGGUUCGGAGGUUGAGACCAGCCUGACCAACAUGGAGAAACCCAGUCUCUGCUAAAAAUACAAAAUUAGCUCGGCAUGGUGGCACGUGCCUGUGAUCCCAGCUACGUGGGAGGCUGAGGCAAGAGAAUCACCUGAACCCAGGAGGCAGAGGGUGCAGUGAGCUGAGAUUUCACCAUUGCAACAAGAGUGAAACUCCGUCUCAAAACAAGAGAAAAAAAAGACAGGGUCUCACUCAGUCACCCAGGCUGAAAGGGCUCAAGCAAUCCUUUCACAUGAGCCUCCUGAGUAGCUGAGAUUGUAUGUGCACACCACCAUACCAGCUUUUAACUUUAAUUAUGAUUUUUUCACAGAAACAGGGUCUCCCUAUGUUUCCCAGGCUGAUCUUGAAUUCCUGGCCUGAAACUACCCUUCCACCUUGGCCUCCCAAAGCAUUGAGUUUAGAGGUGGGAGCCACCAUGCCAAGCCUUGUAUAUUUAUAAUGUUUUAAUGUUUUAAAUCAAAUUUGGGAAGUUUCUUAGAUUUUCAUUAUUUCUUCAAGUAUUCUUUUAGUCCCUCUGUCUGUUCUGUGAUUCUUACAAACUGUUGUUGGUCCACUUGAUGGUGUCCCACAGGUCCCUUAGGGUCAGUUGAUAUUCCUGCAACCAUUUUAUUUCUGUUUCUGACACAGGAUUAUUUCAAUUGCUUUGUCUUCAGAUUUGCUAAUUCUUUCCUCUGCUUGGUCAAAUCUGUUUUUAAUCCCUUCUAGUAAAUUUUUCUUUUCUUUUUUUUUUUUUUUUGAGCUGGAGUCUUGCUCUGUCACCCAGGCUGGAGUGCAGUGGUGUGAUCUCAGCUCACUGCAACUUCUGCCCCCCAGGUUCAAGCGAUUCUCCUGCCUCAGCCUCCCAAGUAGCUGGGACUACAGGUGCGUCACGUUUAGCUAAUUGUUGUAUUUUUAGUAGAGACGGGGUUUCACCAUGUUGCCCAAGCUGGUCUCGAUCUCCUGACCUCAUGACCUGCCCACCUCAGCCUCCCAAAGUGCUGGGAUUACAG